This 228-nucleotide long non-coding RNA is filed under the name Sorghum bicolor (sorghum). RNAcentral describes it as "long non-coding RNA (SBIC_LNC005654)". Lineage: Eukaryota; Viridiplantae; Streptophyta; Magnoliopsida; Poales; Poaceae. The record is from RNAcentral.
UUGGCAUGUAAACUUGAUUUAUGGUGACUAUAUCAGUAUGAUACAUAACUGAUAUCAUGUGUCUUGAUAUAGUGGAGAUGUGGAUGACAUCUUCCAAGGAUCAUUGAAGUUGAUUUGGUUCAAUCAAAUCGGUCAAGGGGAUGACACACCCGACUUAGCUAAAUUAACAUGGCGGAUCCCCACGUGACCAUCAACAUGCUCUUGGCUGAUUGACUUCUUCCGGACCCA